Molecule: long non-coding RNA, 2543 nt
Filed under: Sus scrofa (pig)
Lineage: Eukaryota; Metazoa; Chordata; Mammalia; Artiodactyla; Suidae
Description: lncRNA (ENSSSCG00015048895.1)
Source: RNAcentral
AUUUUAUUGAAGUAGAGUGGAUUUACAAUGUUGGGUUGGUUUCAGGUGUACAGCAACGUGAUUCGAUUAUUUAUCUAUAUAUAUACAUGUGACUCUAAAAUGUCUUUCCGGGAAAGGCUGCUGUGUGUACAAGUUUGCGAGACACAUGAAAACCAGAAAAAUGCUUUGCAACAGAUAAUGCGGACAAAGGGUUAACAUCGCAGCUGGGUUUUGUUGUUGUUCCAAGCAACAGAAAUGGACCUUAGCUGAUUUAAGCAGAAAAGCGAUGGGUACUGAGUCUGGCACAGACUCUCUGGGAGGGAGCACAAUCCUCCCAGUCAGAAACGGCGAUUGUGCUACAGCCCGCCAAGCCCCCCCCUGCUGUCCCUCAUGCUGGGCACUGGCAGGGCUGUAGGUCGACUGCCAUUCCUUCCACCCUCUCCAGGAGAAAAUCUGCCCAGUUCCUGCUCCUUCCCAUCAUUAGCUUCCAAUUGCAUUUCUGAGCUGAGAGCCUCUGAGCAUCCUUGCUACAAGGGGGGCUGGAAGGCAAGCUCCUGACAUUUCCCGCUUCCACUGCAGAAAUCAGGGGAUAUUCCAAAGGGAGGACAAGGAAUUAGAUGCCAGGUGGACAAGAAUAAGGACAGAUGGGUGAUGUCCCUGAUACAUCAGAAGACCUUACAUGAAAGAGGAAAACCUUGGAAUUCCUGUUGUGGCUCAGCAGGUUAAGGACCAGACAUCGUCUCCAUAGGAUGCAGGUUCAAUCCCUGGCCUCACUCAGUGGGUCAGGGAUUGUCUCCAUAGGAUGCAGGUUCAAUCCCUGGCCUCACUCAGGAUCCGAUGUUGCCACGCCUGUGAUGUGAGUGGCAGCUGCAGCUCUGAUGCAACCCCUGGCCCAGGAACUUCCAUAUGCCACACGUGCAGCCGUGAAAAGAAAAAAGAAAACCUUGAUAGAAAAAAUAGGCAAGGAGUUCCCACUGUGGCACGGUAGGUUAAGAAUCCACUGCAGCAUCUCAGGUCAAUGUGGAGAUGAGGUUUGAUCCCCACCCCAGCGCAAUGGCUUAAAGGAUCCAGUGCUGCAGUAGCCGAAGCACAGGUCGCAGCUGUGGCUCAGAUUCACUCCCUAGCCCAGGAAAUUCCAUAUGCUGCAGGUGCGGCCAUAAAAUGAAAAAAGAGAAAGAAAGGAGGGAGGGAAGGAAAGUAAGAAAAAAAAAAUAGGCAAAGUAACACAAAGAGGCAAUUGACAAAAAAUAAAAAUAGGCCAUAAAUAUAUAAAAAGCUGUUUGGCCUCACUAACGUAGCAGCCACCAGUGGUCGCCUACUCCAAGUCAAUUCCCACCUUCUCCCUUGACUGUUUGAACACCAAUCCCAUCGGCAAACAAGUUGGGGAGAGUGUGGGAUCUAAAGCUGGUCAAUGAGCGGGGAGGGAGGUCUGCCAGGAGGCUGCCAGGGAAGGUUUCUGAUGCUCCCCAUCUCUGUAGCUGACACAACAGAACUUCUUGCUCAUGCAAAGUCCAACAACGGCAUUCCUGGCUGGGUGCUCGGUCCAUGCGGUCCUGCUCAGGGAGUCACUCAGACCCUAAGAUCCUUCCUCCGUGUGGAUCUGCCAUCCUCAGAAUAUACUCUCAGGAGUUUCCCUCCUGGUGCAUGGAAAUGAUCCAACUAGAAUCCAUGAGGAUGUAGGUUCGAUCCCUGGCCUCACUCAGUGGGUUGGGGAUCCAGCAUUGCUGUGCAAGGUGGUGUAGGUCGCAGAUGCAGCUCGGAUCUGGCAUUGCUGUUGAUACUGGAAUGAUGAUAUCGGAAUCCAGGUUCUUGUUCACGGCAGUCGAAGAAUGAGCUCCACGAACACACAGGCAGCAAGCAAGCAACAAAAUCUUUAUUAAAGGAAAGCAAAUAGCUCCCAGGGUUGCUGGGAGCAGGGAAAAGGGCCCCCUUUCUCUAUUGCCCUUAAAGGGGGGGAGGAUACCAACGUGGGGUCCAGAAAGAUGUGGUUUUUUUCUCCCAUUGGCCUUGCUCAAUUACCCAUAUCAGUUCUUGUCCAAUAGGGUCUUAGGGGUGGAAAUAUCCCAUAAGUCUCAUAGUCUCUCUGUGCUUUUCUUCCCGUAGACUGAGUCACAGGGGACUAGGGGUUAAUGUCCAUCUGGGCGCAGGUGCACUCCCUGUAGUAAACAAGGCCUGUGGGGAUGUUACUCCCUGGAGCCCAUAAGCCACAAAUGUUAAUCAGUGGCCAUAUCGAAGAAGGCAUCGAAGCUCCUGCUCCUACACUGACUACCUGAGUUAUGCUCAGUGUGGCUCUGGCGUCAGCUGGCAACUGUAGCUCAGAUUCAGCCCCCAGCCUGGGAACUUCCAUAUGCUGUGGGUGCGGCCCUAAAAAAGAAACAAUUAAAAAAAAAAAAAACUCCCAGAUCACUGCAAGGUGCCGUCUGCUCACAUUCCGUUGUCCAAAACAGGUCACAUGAUCACCUGGACACACCCAGCUGCAAAGCACACUGGGAACUGUAGUUUACUCUGUGCCAGGAAGAAAAGGAGCCACAUUUAGCAAACCCCCAUCCCCCCACCCUAGCACU